AGCAGCCGCGGUAAUUCCAGCUCCAAUAGCGUAUAUUAAAGUUGUUGCAGUUAAAAAGCUCGUAGUUGAACUUCGGGGUUUACCCAUUGGUCAGGCUUAAUUGUCUGUACUGGUGAGAUAAAUCUCUACCUUCUGAGGAACUUUCAUGUCAUUAAUUUGGUGUGAUUGGAAAUCAGGACUGUUACUUUGAAAAAAUUAGAGUGUUUAAAGCAGGCUAACGUCUGAAUACAUUAGCAUGGAAUAAUGAAAUAGGACGGACUGAUUCUAUUUCGUUGGUUUCUAGGAUCACCGUAAUGAUUAAUAGGGAUAGUUGGGGGCAUUAGUAUUCAAUUGUCAGAGGUGAAAUUCUUGGAUUUAUUGAAGACUAACUACUGCGAAAGCAUUUGCCAAGGAUGUUUUCAUUAAUCAAGAACGAAAGUUAGGGGAUCGAAGACGAUCAGAUACCGUCGUAGUCUUAACCAUAAACUAUGCCGACUAGGGAUCGGACGAAGUUAAUUUUAUAAUGACGCGUUCGGCACCG
Molecule: ribosomal RNA, 520 nt
Filed under: uncultured Diversispora
Lineage: Eukaryota; Fungi; Glomeromycota; Glomeromycetes; Diversisporales; Diversisporaceae
Description: SSU rRNA
Rfam family: Eukaryotic small subunit ribosomal RNA
Source: RNAcentral